GCGCCCGUAGCUCAAUUGGAAAGAGCAACGGACUUCUAAUCCGUAGGUUGCAGGUUCGAUUCCUGCCGGGCGUAC
Molecule: transfer RNA, 75 nt
Filed under: bacterium BMS3Bbin03
Lineage: Bacteria
Description: tRNA-Arg
Rfam family: tRNA
About the family: Transfer RNA (tRNA) molecules are approximately 80 nucleotides in length. Their secondary structure includes four short double-helical elements and three loops (D, anti-codon, and T loops).
Source: RNAcentral